CCUACGUGUGGCAGCAGUGGGGAAUAUUGGACAAUGGGCGAAAGCCUGAUCCAGCCAUGCCGCGUGUGUGAAGAAGGCCUUCGGGUUGUAAAGCACUUUCAGUGGGGAAGAAAGCCUUGGGGCUAAUACCCUCGAGGAAGGACAUCACCCACAGAAGAAGCACCGGCUAACUCCGUGCCAGCAGCCGCGGUAAUACGGAGGGUGCGAGCGUUAAUCGGAAUUACUGGGCGUAAAGCGCGCGUAGGCGGUCUGAUAAGCCGGUUGUGAAAGCCCCGGGCUCAACCUGGGAACGGCAUCCGGAACUGUCAGGCUAGAGUGCAGGAGAGGAAGGUAGAAUUCCCGGUGUAGCGGUGAAAUGCGUAGAGAUCGGGAGGAAUACCAGUGGCGAAGGCGGCCUUCUGGACUGACACUGACGCUGAGGUGCGAAAGCGUGGGUAGCAAACAGGAUUAGAUACCCGUGUAGUC
This 465-nucleotide ribosomal RNA is filed under the name Vreelandella stevensii. RNAcentral's name for it is "partial 16S ribosomal RNA". It matches the Rfam family "Bacterial small subunit ribosomal RNA", at positions 338 to 795 of the family's 1533-position model. Lineage: Bacteria; Pseudomonadati; Pseudomonadota; Gammaproteobacteria; Oceanospirillales; Halomonadaceae. The record is from RNAcentral.